CUGUACCCGUUGUGAUAAGCAGAUCAUGUGUUUUUUGACCGAUACUUAUAAAGACGGAAUCUGGGAUUGAUCACUGUUGUGCAUGCUCAUCUUGAAUGAGAAGCCUGAUGCGAUAACUUAGAAUCCAACCUGGGGAAACAGGGUCUUAAAAAAACCUUAUCUGGCACAAUGGGUCUUUU
RNAcentral lists this non-coding RNA (179 nucleotides) under Gammaproteobacteria bacterium. RNAcentral's name for it is "6S RNA". It matches the Rfam family "6S / SsrS RNA". Rfam says of the family: E. coli 6S RNA was the first non coding RNA to be sequenced, but its function was unknown until recently. It consists of 184 nucleotides that fold into an extended hairpin structure with a large single-stranded internal bulge. The record is from RNAcentral. Lineage: Bacteria; Pseudomonadati; Pseudomonadota; Gammaproteobacteria.